Molecule: long non-coding RNA, 472 nt
Organism: Amphimedon queenslandica
Lineage: Eukaryota; Metazoa; Porifera; Demospongiae; Haplosclerida; Niphatidae
Exons: 2
Source: RefSeq, a predicted model, not a curated record
GCAAAAACAAGGGAUUAAAGGUCUUUAAAUUUCCUCUAAAUGAUAAGGAAUGCUGUAAAAGAUGGGCAGCAGCUGUGAGACGAGAGCACUGCAGCAAAGAAGAGCUCCAUGAUAAAUGAUGAGCAUUUGUAAUGUACAUUACUGGAGCUUAACCAGUAUACUGGAGAACUUGACAGUGUCUCAACUCAUCCAGACUACAUUCCAAGCCUUUUCCUUCAGUUUAUAAAUCUCAGUAAAGAUUCUAGCAACAUUAUGGCAGAUUUGCAACGUCUUACAGCUGCUGUCCAUCUUUCACAGCAUUCCUCAUCCUUUAAAAGGGAUCUAAAGACUUUUAAUUCUCUUUUUUUGCCCAACCAGUCAUUGCAUUUGACUAAACAGCAGCUUUUAGGCAUCUCCUCCAUAGACACAGCUAUAAUCUUUCCCCCCAGUGGGUGAAAUCUGACCGCACCCUAUCGUGAAUACAAUUUACAUC